Molecule: long non-coding RNA, 1076 nt
Organism: Oncorhynchus tshawytscha (Chinook salmon)
Lineage: Eukaryota; Metazoa; Chordata; Actinopteri; Salmoniformes; Salmonidae
Exons: 3
Source: RefSeq, a predicted model, not a curated record
UUUGAACACGCCUCAAAUCAGCUCUAUGGAACACCAUUACCAGCUAACAAUUGUUUGAAAUUGCUAACUAUUUAUUUGUAGCUGACAGUGUAAAAGUGCUCCUCUUUCUCCAGAUGAACAGAACCUGCAGAACUUACCAGUGAUUCACAUUAACAGGAGACCAUCAUCACCACCAUGGCAAUGUUGACCAUAUCUCUGCUGCUCUGUGCUGCCGUUGCUCUGAAUGGAGCAACAGGUGCUGAUGCCCUACCCGUGGCCCUACCCGAGGCCCUACCCGAGGCCCUACCCGUGGCCCUAUCCGAGGCCCUACCCGUGGCCCUAUCCGAGGCCCUACCCGUGGCCCUACCGACAUCCCAGAAAGCACAGUCAAAGUUCCAUAUGUUCAGCAAGUAAAGCAUCUUAACGCGCAAUUACAGCUGCAAGCUCCUUGUAGUUGCCCUUGUGUCAUGUCCUCUAGUAGCCAAUUCUGGCCUGACCCAAAAUGAAGUGGUGUUAAUAUGCUGCUUGACAACAUCCCUGUUUCUUCUUACUUUCCCAUUGUGUUGCGAGGUUUGAAUACGCAGACCUUCGUCAUGAUUGAUUCAGCUUUUUCCCAACUUAGAUCUGAUGUGGGCAUUUAUAUGCUCCAUGAUUUUGUUUUGGCAUUUAGCUGAACGAUCAAUGUACUUCAGGUCACUGUACCCCCCUUUCGCCCAAGUUUCAGACUUUCCAAAAAGCAGGCAAGUCCUGCAAUGCAAGGCUCCCUGUUAACCAGCUAUACAUUUAAUACCAGUUGGUUGAAAUAAAUUGCACUAACUGGACACAAAAAUAAAGUUCUAAAACCAAGAAAACAAUUUAUAAUCUAUCUCUUCCAUCUCAUGUAUUCGGCACAACCCGAAUACAACACACUAGGUUCAUUCUCUAAUUCUAAUCCUAUGAUUGGAUGAACCUCAUGUCUGUUCAUACUGCCAAAGCUUUGACUGGAUGGAGGUCGUCCUCCGGAAGUGGUCAUAAUUACCAUGUAUAUCUAUUGAAGGGGUUGAGGCCUACGAGCCUCCUAGGUUUUGUAUUGAAGUCAAUGUACCCAGAGGAGGACA